This 72-nucleotide transfer RNA is filed under the name Canis lupus familiaris (dog). RNAcentral's name for it is "tRNA-Lys". The record is from RNAcentral. Lineage: Eukaryota; Metazoa; Chordata; Mammalia; Carnivora; Canidae.
GCCUGGAUGGCUCAGUUGGUUAAACACACCUCACAAUCUGAGGGUCCUGGGAUCAAUCUUGCUUUAGGCUCC